This 320-nucleotide long non-coding RNA is filed under the name Pan troglodytes (chimpanzee). RNAcentral describes it as "long non-coding RNA NONPTRT011785". The record is from RNAcentral. Lineage: Eukaryota; Metazoa; Chordata; Mammalia; Primates; Hominidae.
AACAGUUGAUGCCAAUGAGCUGCCCCUGCAUGCCAGGAUCCAAGCAACGCACUGAGAAAUGAGCACCGAAUGUUACCGACUCAUAUGUUAUACUUCUCUUUCCUCAUGCCUACUAAAAAUACAAAAAUUAGCCAGGUGUGGUGGCGCAUGCCUGUAAUCCCAUCUAUUCAGGAGGCUGAGGCAGGAGAAUUGCUUGAACCUGGGAGGCAGAAGCUGCAGUGAGCUGAGAUCGCGCCACUGUGCGUGAGCCACUGCACCUGGCCUCAUAACUUUUUUUUAAUAAUGCAUAGAAAUGUGAAUUUUCUGACCUACCUAGGAAA